This 274-nucleotide ribosomal RNA is filed under the name uncultured bacterium. RNAcentral describes it as "partial 16S ribosomal RNA". It matches the Rfam family "Bacterial small subunit ribosomal RNA", at positions 523 to 796 of the family's 1533-position model. The record is from RNAcentral.
AUACGGAGGGGGUUAGCGUUGUUCGGAAUUACUGGGCGUAAAGCGCACGUAGGCGGACUGGAAAGUUGGGGGUGAAAUCCCGGGGCUCAACCCCGGAACUGCCUCCAAAACUUCCAAUGUAGAGUUCGAGAGAGGUGAGUGGAAUUCCAAGUGUAGAGGUGAAAUUCGUAGAUAUUUGGAGGAACACCAGUGGCGAAGGCGGCUCACUGGCUCGAUACUGACGCUGAGGUGCGAAAGCGUGGGGAGCAAACAGGAUUAGAAACCCGUGUAGUCC